Molecule: ribosomal RNA, 2101 nt
Filed under: human gut metagenome
Description: bacterial LSU rRNA
Rfam family: Bacterial large subunit ribosomal RNA
Source: RNAcentral
GAACUGAAACAUCUAAGUACCCGGAGGAAGAGAAAUCAAACGAGAUGCCCACAGUAGCGGCGAGCGAAGAGGGCAGAGCCCAAACCGAGAAGCUCCGGCUUUUCGGGGUUGAGGACCGGCAGAAUCGAAGUCAGGCCUAGUUGAAUUACCUGGAAAGGUAAGCGAGAGAGGGUAAAAGCCCCGUAGACGAAAGGCAGAGCAGAGAGGCCGAGAUCCAGAGUACCACGAAGCACGAGGAAUUUUGUGGGAAGCAGGGGGGACCACCCUCCAAGGCUAAAAACUACUUGGCGACCGAUAGCGCAUAGUACCGUGAGGGAAAGGUGAAAAGAACCCCGGGAGGGGAGUGAAAUAGUACCUGAAACCGUAUGUCUACAAGCAGUCGAAGCGAAAGCGACGGCGUGCCUAUUGAAGAAUGAACCAACGAGUUAUCUGCACUAGCGAGGUUAAGUGGAAGACACGGAGCCGCAGCGAAAGCGAGUCUUAAGAGGGCGCUAGUUAGUGUAGGUAGACCCGAAACCGCAGUGAUCUACCCAUGUCCAGGUUGAAGCGCAGGUAAAAUUGCGUGGAGGACCGAACCGGUGAGCGUUGAAAAGCUUUCGGAUGAGAUGUGGGUAGGGGUGAAAUUCCAAUCGAACGCGGAGAUAGCUGGUUCUCCCCGAAAUAGCUUUAGGGCUAGCCUGAGGUAGUAAGUAUAGGCGGUAGAGCACUGAUCGGGCUAGGGGCCGUAAAGGUUACCGAACCCUGUCAAACUCCGAAUGGAUAUACUGUAGAGCCUUGGAGUCAGACUACGAGUGAUAAGAUCCGUGGUCAAAAGGGAAACAGCCCAGAUCGUCAGCUAAGGUCCCAAAGUCGUAUUAAGUGGAAAAGGAUGUGGGGUUUCAUAAACAACCAGGAUGUUGGCUCAGAAGCAGCCAUCAUUUAAAGAGUGCGUAAUAGCUCACUGGUCGAGAGACCCUGCGCCGAAGAUUCCCGGGGCUAAAGUACGAAACCGAAGCUGUGGCUGUAUACGUAAAGUAUACGGGGUAGGGGAGCGUUCCCAUAGGGUAGAAGUCGAACUGGAAGGUUCGGUGGACUUGUGGGAAGUGAGAAUGUUGGUAUGAGUAGCGAAAAGAAAGGUGAGAAUCCUUUCCACCGAAAGCAUAAGGAUUCCUGAGCAACGAUCGUCGUCUCAGGGUAAGUCGGGACCUAAUCCGAGGCAGAGAGCGUAGGAGAUGGACAACUGGUUGAUAUUCCAGUACCGGUAGUAAUUGUUUGAGCAAUGGAGUGACACAGAAGGGCAGGCAAGCAUGCGAAUGGAAGAGCAUGUGUAAGCGUGUAGGGUGGUGCAUAGGCAAAUCCGUGCACUGAAAGCCUGAGGCGUGAUGCGGAGUGAGCAGAGAUGCGAGCGAAGUUGUUGACCCCACACUGUCGAGAAAAGCUUCUAGUGAGAGAGCUACCGCCCGUACCGUAAACCGACACAGGUAUGCGGGGAGAGAAUCCUAAGGUGCGCGGGAGAACCCUCGUUAAGGAACUCGGCAAAAUGUACCCGUAACUUCGGGAUAAGGGUAGCCACUGUUGUGAAGUCCCAUGCGGAUGGAGCAUAGAGUGGUCGCAGAGAAGAGGCCCAAGCGACUGUUUACCAUAAACACAGGUGCCUGCUAAAGCGAAAGCUGACGUAUAGGUGCUGACACCUGCCCAGUGCCGGAAGGUUAAGGAAGGAUGUUCGGAUUAGUCCAAAGCAUUCGACUGAAGCCCCGGUGAACGGCGGCCGUAACUAUAACGGUCCUAAGGUAGCGAAAUUCCUUGUCGGGUAAGUUCCGACCCGCACGAAAGGUGUAACGAUUUGGGCACUGUCUCAACGAGGGACCCGGUGAAAUUGAAAUACCUGUGAAGAUGCAGGUUACCCGCGACUGGACAGAAAGACCCCAUGGAGCUUUACUGUAACCUGACAUUGGGUUUUGAUACAUUACGUACAGGAUAGGUGGGAGGCUUGGAAAGUUGGACGCUAGUCUGACUGGAGCCGACGUUGGGAUACCACCCUUGAUGUAUUGAAAUUCUAACCGCGAGAGUAACGAAAUCCGGGACAGUGUCAGGCGGGCAGUUUGACUGGGGCGGUCGCCUC